GGUGCCUGGCGGCUUCCGCAGCCUGGAGGAGAGGCGGCUCGCUCCGGCCAUCUUCGGCUCGGCAGAGCUAAGUUUGGAAUCUGUACCCUGGAGGGG
This 96-nucleotide long non-coding RNA is filed under the name Chinchilla lanigera (long-tailed chinchilla). RNAcentral describes it as "GNAS antisense RNA 1 conserved region 1 (ENSCLAG00000018384.1)". It matches the Rfam family "GNAS antisense RNA 1 conserved region 1". The record is from RNAcentral. Lineage: Eukaryota; Metazoa; Chordata; Mammalia; Rodentia; Chinchillidae.